GUGCUCUCUUUGGUGGCACAUGUACUAAAAUUGGAACCAUACAGAGAAGAUUAGCAUGGCUCCCGCCCAAGGAUGACAGGCAAAUUCAUGAAGCAUUCUAUAUUUUU
This 107-nucleotide small nuclear RNA is filed under the name Zalophus californianus (California sea lion). The record is from RNAcentral. Lineage: Eukaryota; Metazoa; Chordata; Mammalia; Carnivora; Otariidae.